This 421-nucleotide ribosomal RNA is filed under the name uncultured bacterium. RNAcentral describes it as "bacterial SSU rRNA". It matches the Rfam family "Bacterial small subunit ribosomal RNA", at positions 355 to 774 of the family's 1533-position model. The record is from RNAcentral.
UAAGGAAUAUUGGUCAAUGGACGCAAGUCUGAACCAGCCAUGCCGCGUGAAGGAUGAAGGUCCUCUGGAUUGUAAACUUCUUUUAUCUGGGACGAAAACGGGAUUUUUAUCUCAAUUGACGGUACCAGAGGAAUAAGCACCGGCUAACUCCGUGCCAGCAGCCGCGGUAAUACGGAGGGUGCGAGCGUUAUCCGGAUUCACUGGGUUUAAAGGGUGCGUAGGUGGGCAGAUAAGUCAGUGGUGAAAUCUUCCGGCUUAACCGGGAAACUGCCGUUGAUACUAUUUGUCUUGAAUAUCGCGGAGGUAAGCGGAAUAUGUCAUGUAGCGGUGAAAUGCUUAGAUAUGACAUAGAACACCAAUUGCGAAGGCAGCUUACUACACAAUCAUUGACACUGAGGCACGAAAGCGUGGGUAGCGAACA